This 879-nucleotide ribosomal RNA is filed under the name uncultured bacterium. RNAcentral describes it as "bacterial SSU rRNA". It matches the Rfam family "Bacterial small subunit ribosomal RNA", at positions 8 to 916 of the family's 1533-position model. The record is from RNAcentral.
AGAGUUUGAUCAUGGCUCAGGAUGAACGCUGGCGGCGUGCCUAACACAUGCAAGUCGAGCGAUUCUCUUCGGAGAAGAGCGGCGGACGGGUGAGUAACGCGUGGGUAACCUGCCCUGUACACACGGAUAACAUACCGAAAGGUAUGCUAAUACGGGAUAAUAUAAGAAAUUCGCAUGUUUUUCUUAUCAAAGCUCCGGCGGUACAGGAUGGACCCGCGUCUGGUUAGCUAGUUGGUGAGGUAACGGCUCACCAAGGCGACGAUCAGUAGCCGACCUGAGAGGGUGAUCGGCCACAUUGGAACUGAGACACGGUCCAAACUCCUACGGGAGGCAGCAGUGGGGAAUAUUGCACAAUGGGCGAAAGCCUGAUGCAGCAACGCCGCGUGAGCGAUGAAGGCCUUCGGGUCGUAAAGCUCUGUCCUCAAGGAAGAUAAUGACGGUACUUGAGGAGGAAGCCCCGGCUAACUACGUGCCAGCAGCCGCGGUAAUACGUAGGGGGCUAGCGUUAUCCGGAUUUACUGGGCGUAAAGGGUGCGUAGGCGGUCUUUUAAGUCAGAAGUGAAAGGCUACGGCUUAACCGUAGUAAGCUUUUGAAACUGGAGGACUUGAGUGCAGGAGAGGAGAGUGGAAUUCCUAGUGUAGCGGUGAAAUGCGUAGAUAUUAGGAGGAACACCAGUAGCGAAGGCGGCUCUCUGGACUGUAACUGACGCUGAGGCACGAAAGCGUGGGGAGCAAACAGGAUUAGAUACCCUGGUAGUCCACGCCGUAAACGAUGAGUACUAGCUGUCGGAGGUUACCCCCUUCGGUGGCGCAGCUAACGCAUUAAGUACUCCGCCUGGGGAGUACGCUCGCAAGAGUGAAACUCAAAUGAAUUGACGG